GAGCUAAGUGUGUGUAGAGAGUAGAGAGGAUCAGCACACUGUCAUGCUGGUGUACUAAAGAGCUGAAAGUCAGUGUGUUCUUCUCCCAGUGUGUGCUACACCACCAUGAUCAUUUUCACUGUACUGCUGCUCUCUGCUCUUACAGGUAACAGAGCUGAAGACGUCAUCACUCCUAGCAGAGACGCUGUUUUUGCUGUUGAAGGUCAGAAUGUUUCUCUCUCCUGUAGCUACACUGUAUCUGGAUCCAAUUACGCUCUUCACUGGUACCGACAGUAUUCAGGAUCAUCUCCCCAGUUCCUCAUACUGGACUAUGCAGGGGUCAUUACUAAAGCUCAACCUCCAGUUCCUAGAAUAUCCAUCAACCAUCAAAAAGAAAAGAGGAAAGUGGAUCUGAUCAUCUCCUCUACUGCAGUAUCAGACUCUGCUCUCUACUACUGCGCUCUGCAGCCCACAGUGACAGAAACCCACCAAACACUGUACUAAAACUCUAUCAGGAGAAUUCCUGCCUUUUUAUCUCCCAUAAUGUUACAUUUGUGAUUACACCUUU
Astyanax mexicanus (Mexican tetra) is the source of this 547-nucleotide non-coding RNA. Lineage: Eukaryota; Metazoa; Chordata; Actinopteri; Characiformes; Acestrorhamphidae. The record is from the annotation of a RefSeq genome assembly.